This 2244-nucleotide long non-coding RNA is filed under the name Sus scrofa (pig). RNAcentral's name for it is "lncRNA (ENSSSCG00035015916.1, ENSSSCG00045005326.1)". The record is from RNAcentral. Lineage: Eukaryota; Metazoa; Chordata; Mammalia; Artiodactyla; Suidae.
GGCUGCAACUGCAGCAUAUGGAGUUCCCAGGCUAGGGGUCCAGUUGGAGCUGUAGCUGCCGGCCUACACCACAGCCACAGCAAUGCCAGAUCCUUAACCCACAGAGCAAGGCCAGGUAUCAAACCUGCAUCCUCAUGGAUGCUAGCUGGGUUCGUUAACCGCUGAGACACGAUGGGAACUCCAACAUAUCGAUUUUAAAAUAAAGAAAAAUCCAUAUUACAUAAAAUCUAAGUAUGAUCCAUUUUUAUUUACUUUUUUUUGGUCAGCUUCAGUGAUGCACAAUUUGCAUUUUUCAAAAAUUACCGAUUUUAAGUACACAAUUUGGUAAGCUUUGACAAAUGGAUCCAGAUGUGUGACCACCAUCACAACCACGACAAAGAACAUUUCCAUUAUCACAAGUUCUCUCAUACAUUUUUGUAAAACCUCUUCACCCUAGUCCCUGGCUUUGGCGACUGCUGAUUUGCUUUCUAUCACUAUGGUUUUGCCUUUUCUAGAAUUUCAUAUAGUGGAAAUUAUACAACAUGAAGACUCCUGCACCUGGCUCUUUCACCUUUUAGAUGUAUUCAUAAUAUUGUAUGUAUCCAUAGUUUAUUCGUUUUAUUGUUGAAUACUAGUUCAUUAUAUGUAUACACCACUCUAUGUUUAUCUAUUCACUGUUUAUGAAACAACAUUUGGGUUGUUUCCAGUUUGGGGCUACUAUGACUAUUUGGAUGCAAGUUUUUAUGUUUUCAUUUCUCUUUGUUUAGUACCCAGAAGUGGAAUUAGUGAGAUAUACGCUAGGCAUGUGUUUAACUUUUUAGGAAGGUAGCAAACUGUUUUCCAAAGUAGCUACAUAUUUUUGCAUUCCUACAAGUAAUGCAUGAGCGCUCCAGUUUUGUGAUUACACAAUGAUACAGUGCUUUAUCCCUUAAAAAUUGUAUUUCAUUGUCUCCCUAAAAAGCCUUCUUAGGAGUUCCUGUUGUGGCUUAGCGGAUUAAGAACCUGACUAGUAUCUUGAAAAUGUGGGUUCGAUCCCUGGGCUCGAUCCUGGGCCAGCUCAUUGCCAUGAGCUAUGACGUAGGUCACAGAUGUGGUUCAGAACCGGUGUUGCUGUGGCUAUGGCAUGGGCCAGCAGUGGCAACCCCAAUUUGACCCCUAGUCCAGGAACUUCCACAUGCCAUAGGAGCAGCCCUUAAAAGAAAACAAAUAAAUAAAAAGCCCUCUAAAAGCAGAAUGUAAAUAUUCUGACCAAGUGUAUAUGCAUAUGUUACAUAUAUAUAUUAUACGUGCGUGUGCAUGCAAGGUGAUGUAGAUGUUAAUUAAGUAGAUGGGAGGAAUUCUUUCAAAAUGUAUACAUAUAUCAAAUCAUCAUGAUGUACAUUUUAAAUCUCUUAUAAUUUUGUCAAUUAUACUCCAAUAAAGCUGAAGUUUUUUUAAUUUGAUCAAUUUUUUAAAAAGGUUUUUUGAAAAGUUCUUUAAUUUAUUAUUUAGGCAUAGUCUUUUUAUCAUUAAUACCUUGCAUACAUUUUAUAUAUAUAUAUACAAAAUUAAUUGGUGAAGAAAACCCUAAAACUUCUUCAAAUUUAGAGUCCAGCUCUUCCCAAUUACCUUUCGGCUCAGUUAUUGAUGUUAGUGUUUUCCAUAUUGAUGUUACUUUUGUGUCAACCAUGGUAUUGGAAUGGCAGCUUUUUGUUUUGAAGUCUGCACCAUUGUUGCUUCUGAGAUUUUUUUCUCCAAGCCACUGACAACAUUCUACAGAUUUUGAUGCUGACACUUACUUGAUCUGACUAGACUGAACCAGACUGAAUUCCUUAUCAGAAAAGAUGAACCUUCCUUCUUCAAAUGUCUUAGAGAUUGAAAUAGCCAAAUGUUUCAGUUUUAAAACCAUGUUACCAACAACAACAACCAAGAUUGCAUAUGCCCAGGCAAUGACAAAUGAUUCAGCUGCCCUGAGGUAGUUAAAUAUCAGCAAUUAUAAGAUACAUUCCAGUUUUGGAUAUGUAAGAAUAUGUAAAAAGGUGCAUCUUGGAAACAUGAAAUACAGUACCAAACAAGUGUACUCUUUAAAAGUUGUCUUCUUUAUCUUAGAUCUGCGUAUUUCAAUACAGAAAACACAAAACAGAAAACCAUCAUUCUUAAACUGCAUCAUGCAAUUUAGCAACUAAUUAAUCAUAGUCUUAAAAUACACUAUAAUGGUUUGCAAGUUAGCUUUUUCUUCCCAAGUAGACCACAAGUCCCUCUCCUUCAGGAAUUUUACCUUUGUUU